Molecule: ribosomal RNA, 807 nt
Filed under: Lactobacillus helveticus
Lineage: Bacteria; Bacillati; Bacillota; Bacilli; Lactobacillales; Lactobacillaceae
Description: bacterial SSU rRNA
Rfam family: Bacterial small subunit ribosomal RNA
Source: RNAcentral
GCUGGCGGCGUGCCUAAUACAUGCAAGUCGAGCGAGCAGAACCAGCAGAUUUACUUCGGUAAUGACGCUGGGGACGCGAGCGGCGGAUGGGUGAGUAACACGUGGGGAACCUGCCCCAUAGUCUGGGAUACCACUUGGAAACAGGUGCUAAUACCGGAUAAGAAAGCAGAUCGCAUGAUCAGCUUAUAAAAGGCGGCGUAAGCUGUCGCUAUGGGAUGGCCCCGCGGUGCAUUAGCUAGUUGGUAAGGUAACGGCUUACCAAGGCAAUGAUGCAUAGCCGAGUUGAGAGACUGAUCGGCCACAUUGGGACUGAGACACGGCCCAAACUCCUACGGGAGGCAGCAGUAGGGAAUCUUCCACAAUGGACGCAAGUCUGAUGGAGCAACGCCGCGUGAGUGAAGAAGGUUUUCGGAUCGUAAAGCUCUGUUGUUGGUGAAGAAGGAUAGAGGUAGUAACUGGCCUUUAUUUGACGGUAAUCAACCAGAAAGUCACGGCUAACUACGUGCCAGCAGCCGCGGUAAUACGUAGGUGGCAAGCGUUGUCCGGAUUUAUUGGGCGUAAAGCGAGCGCAGGCGGAAGAAUAAGUCUGAUGUGAAAGCCCUCGGCUUAACCGAGGAACUGCAUCGGAAACUGUUUUUCUUGAGUGCAGAAGAGGAGAGUGGAAUUCCAUGUGUAGCGGUGGAAUGCGUAGAUAUAUGGAAGAACACCAGUGGCGAAGGCGACUCUCUGGUCUGCAACUGACGCUGAGGCUCGAAAGCAUGGGUAGCGAACAGGAUUAGAUACCCUGGUAGUCCAUGCCGUAAACGA